AUAAUGUUAGUGGCCCUGUGGAGCGCUGCUACGGCGGCGGACUGGGGCCUGAAACCUCAUCAACGGCUACGGUAACCUAACGAAACCCAAACAAACACUAUAGGUUUUGACUCAGAAAAUUCAUAUAUGCUUUCUUACUAAUGAGAUUUUCUAUACAACAAAGUGGGGUCAUUCUUUGUUGAUUUAUACCAUAAAGUGUUGGCUAUCAUGUGUUUGAAGAUACCCUAAACUUAACCUAAGAAAACCCAAACAGCUACUAUAGGUCUUGACCCAGAAAAUUCAUAUAUAUGCUUCCUUAUUAAUGAAACUUUCUGUACAACAAAGUGAGGUUAUUCUUUGUUGACUUAUACCAUAAGGUGCUGGCUAUCGAGCGUGUGAAGACAUUCUAAAUUUAAUAUAACCCGAUAGUUACUUAAGGUCUUGACUCAGAAAAUUCAUAUAUGCUUCCUUAUUAAUGAGACUUUCUAUACAACAAAGUAAGGUCAUUCUCUGUUGAUUUAUACCAUAAGGUGCUGGCUAUUGUGUUUGAAGAUACCCUAAACUUAAACUUAUGAAACCCAAACAGUUAAUAUAGGUCUUGAAUCAGAAAAUUCACAUAUGCUUCCUAAUUGAUGUGACUUUCUAUACAACAGAGUGAGGUCAUUCACUGUUGAUUUAUACCAUAAGGUGCUGGCUAUCGUGUUUGAAGAUACCCUAAACUUAAUCUAACAUAACCCGAUACAAUUACUACUAAAGGUCUUGACUCAGAAAAUUCACAUACGCUUCCUUAUUAAUGUGACUUUCUAUACAACAAAGUGAGGUCAUUCUCUGUUGAUUUAUACCAUAAGGUGCUGGCUAUCGUGUUUGAAGAUACCGUAAACUUAAUCUAACAUAACCCGAUACAAUUACUACUAAAGGUCUUGACUCAGAAAAUUCACAUACGCUUCCUUAUUAAUGAGACUUUCUAUACAACAAAGUGAGGUCAUUCUCUGUUGAUUUAUACCAUAAGGUGCUGGCUAUCGUGUUUGAAGAUGCCGUAAACUCAAUCUAACAUAACCCGAUACAAUUGCUACUAAUGGUCUUGACUCAAAAAUUCACAUACGCUUCCUUAUUAAUGUGACUUUCUAUACAACAAAGUCAGGUCAUUCUCUGUUGAUUUAUACCAUAAGGUGCUGGCUAUCGUGUUUGAAGAUACCUUAAACUUAAUCUAACAUAACCCGAUACAAUUGCUACUAAAGGUCUUGACUCAGAAAAUUCACAUACACUUCCUUAUUAAUGAGACUUUCUAUACAACAAAGUGAGGUCAUUCUCUGUUGAUUUAUACCAUAAGGUGCUGGCUAUUGUGUUUGAAGAUACCGUAAACUUAAUCUAACAUAACCCGAUACAAUUACUACUAAAGGUCUUGACUCAGAAAAUUCACAUACGCUUCCUUAUUAGUGUGACUUUCUAUACAACAAAGUGAGGUCAUUCUCUGUUGAUUUAUACCAUAAGGUGCUGGCUAUUGUGUUUGAAGAUACCCUAAACUCAAUCUAACAUAACCCGAUACAAUUACUACUAAAGGUCUUGACUCAGAAAAUUCACAUUCGCUUCCUUAUUAAUGAGACUUUCUAUACAACAAAGUGAGGUCAUUCUCUGUUGAUUUAUACCAUAAGGUGCUGGCUAUCGUGUUUGAAGAUACCCUAAACUCAAUCUAACAUAACCCGAUACAAUUGCUACUAAAGGUCUUGACUCAAAAAUUCACAUACGCUUCCUUAUUAAUGUGACUUUCUAUCCA
Long non-coding RNA from Eriocheir sinensis (Chinese mitten crab), 1753 nucleotides. RefSeq lists it as uncharacterized. The record is from RefSeq and is a predicted model, not a curated record. NCBI's taxonomy places the organism in Eukaryota, Metazoa, Arthropoda, Malacostraca, Decapoda, Varunidae. The transcript has 4 exons.